GCAGAAUUCCCUCAAAGAGCAUAUCGACUCCCAAAUCCGCUUGGACAAGGGUGCAACGAGCCGUCUGCAGACCCUGUCAAUCAAAGACGGAACGAUACCUCUUUUUGGGGAGUCGUGUUUUGGGGUCACGCUCGGCCUUUUCAAGGAAAAAAAAAACCCCACUCUUUUUAGUGAUGAGAGUCUUUCACUAACUGCUACAGUCUAAAUGGAGAUAUUUGUCUUUUCGCAGUGACCGCAGUCCCCCGUGUUAAGGAUGACACAAAGAUUGGAACUGCGGACGAAUAAAUAUCGUUUUCUCAGGGUUUAGUGCAGGUGAUGAAUUACUGCAGAUAAAUAAAUUGAAAUCUUGAGACGUGAAGAAACUUAAGUCAUCAGAUUCUUUGCCCAAGAUUUUUAGCACUUCCAAUUUGUACCCAAUCGCGUUAUGCUUCCUCUCUACUGGAGCUGACCCCCGCCUUGAUUGAGGAGAGCAAGACUGUCGCACGCCCCCUCCGACAUGUGUGCAUAGUCGUAGCCGACUGCAUCUUUUCACUUGCACGAGUUGGAGUGCCUGGAGUGAGAGUCCACUAACACCAGUUAAACUAGCUGACUCGAGCAGACCUGGCAAAGAGCUGGAAUUACAGCAGGAACUCCUAGGAUGAUAGAAGUUAAUGAAUUACUUCAAUAAUAAAGGACUUCAAGACUGUGUCAUGGUGGGUCCGAUUCACAAGGAGGAAGGUAGAAAACACCACAUAUAGGUCACCAGUCCAUCACAUGGCAAACACACACCGACACACACACUCUGGGCAAUUUUAGUAGCUCCAUUGAUUCUGACUGACUGUGGGAGGAAACUGAAGCACACCCAUGCAGACAGGCAACACAGAAAGGACCCAGACCGCUCCACCUGGGAAUUAAACCCAGGAACAUCUCGCUGUGAGGCGACAGUGCUACCCAGCGAGCCACCGUGCCGCCAUGAAUACAAACAACAUAUGAAUAUUGUUAUCACAUUAACAGUAGGAAUUUUCAUUGUAAUUUUUUGAUCACCCUUCUUUUAUUCAUUAUUAACAAAAUAAAGGUAGUCUAGAAC
Long non-coding RNA from Trichomycterus rosablanca, 1066 nucleotides. RefSeq lists it as uncharacterized. The transcript is spliced from 4 exons. The record is from RefSeq and is a predicted model, not a curated record. Lineage: Eukaryota; Metazoa; Chordata; Actinopteri; Siluriformes; Trichomycteridae.